This 8747-nucleotide small RNA is filed under the name Pan troglodytes (chimpanzee). RNAcentral describes it as "retained intron". The record is from RNAcentral. Lineage: Eukaryota; Metazoa; Chordata; Mammalia; Primates; Hominidae.
CCUGAUCCCGAACUCCCUGUGCAGAGACCAGACUCGCCCGAAUACGGGGAGAAAAAUGAGCCGCGUGCAGCAGGGGCCGCCUCGGUCCCCUGCCUGCUCCGCCCACGGCGAGCGUUCCUGGGGCCUCGGGUUUCCCCCCUUCCGCUGGCUGCUCGGAAUCGCGGGACGGACCCACCUGGCCGCCCUGCCUCCCUUCCAGUGGGUCCUGGCCUUCGAGAUCUUCAUCCCCCUGGUGCUGUUCUUUAUCCUGCUGGGGCUGCGGCAGAAGAAGCCCACCAUCUCCGUGAAGGAAGCCUUCUACACAGCGGCGCCCCUGACGUCUGCCGGCAUCCUGCCUGUCAUGCAAUCGCUGUGCCCGGACGGCCAGCGGGACGAGUUCGGCUUCCUGCAGUACGCCAACUCCACGUGAGUGCCCACCCGCCCCUCGGAGCACCCACCCCUCCCCAGCCCAUCCAGUGAGUGACAUCCGCCAUGGUGCAGGGUCACGCAGCUGCUUGAGCGCCUGGACCGCGUGGUAGAGGAAGGCAACCUGUUCGACCCAGCGCGGCCCAGCCUGGGCUCAGAGCUCGAGGCCCUGCGCCAGCAUCUGGAGGCCCUCAGUGCGGGCCCGGGCACCUCGGGGAGCCACCUGGACAGAUCCACAGUGUCUUCCUUCUCUCUGGACUCGGUGGCCAGAAACCCGCAGGAGCUCUGGCGUUUCCUGACGCAAAACUUGUCGCUGCCCAAUAGCACGGCCCAAGCCCUCUUGGCCGCCCGUGUGGACCUGCCCGAGGUCUACCACCUGCUCUUUGGUCCCUCAUCUGCCCUGGAUUCACAGUCUGGCCUCCACAAGGGUCAGGAGCCCUGGAGCCGCCUAGGGGGCAAUCCCCUGUUCCGAAUGGAGGAGCUGCUGCUGGCUCCUGCCCUCCUGGAGCAGCUCACCUGCACGCCGGGCUCGGGGGAGCUGGGCCGGAUCCUCACUGUGCCUGAGAGUCAGAAGGGAGCCCUGCAGGGCUACCAGGAUGCUGUCUGCAGUGGGCAGGCUGCUGCGCGUGCCAGGCGCUUCUCUGGGCUGUCUGCUGAGCUCCGGAACCAGCUGGACAUGGCCAAGGUCUCCCAGCAGCUGGGCCUGGAUGCCCCCAACGGCUCGGACUCCUCGCCACAGGCGCCACCCCCACGGAGGCUGCAGGCGCUUCUGGGGGACCUGCUGGAUGCCCAGAAGGUUCUGCAGGAUGUGGAUGUCCUGUCGGCCCUGGCCCUGCUACUGCCCCAGGGUGCCUGCACUGGCCGGACCCCCGGACCCCCAGCCAGCGGUGCGGGUGGGGCGGCCAAUGGCACUGGGGCAGGGGCAGUCAUGGGCCCCAACGCCACCGCUGAGGAGGGCGCACCCUCUGCUGCAGCACUGGCCUCCCCGGACACGCUGCAGGGCCAGUGCUCAGCCUUCGUACAGCUCUGGGCCGGCCUGCAGCCCAUCUUGUGUGGCAACAACCGCACCAUUGAACCCGAGGCGCUGCGGCGGGGCAACAUGAGCUCCCUGGGCUUCACGAGCAAGGAGCAGCGGAACCUGGGCCUCCUCGUGCACCUCAUGACCAGCAACCCCAAAAUUCUGUACGCGCCUGCGGGCUCUGAGGUCGACCGCGUCAUCCUCAAGGCCAACGAGACUUUUGCCUUUGUGGGCAACGUGACUCACUAUGCCCAGGUCUGGCUCAACAUCUCGGCGGAGAUCCGCAGCUUCCUGGAGCAGGGCAGGCUGCAGCAACACCUGCGCUGGCUGCAGCAGUAUGUAGCAGAGCUGCGGCUGCACCCCGAGGCACUGAACCUGUCGCUGGAUGAGCUGCCGCCGGCCCUGAGACAGGACAACUUCUCGCUGCCCAGUGGCAUGGCCCUCCUGCAGCAGCUGGAUACCAUUGACAACGCGGCCUGCGGCUGGAUCCAGUUCAUGUCCAAGGUGAGCGUGGACAUCUUCAAGGGCUUCCCCGACGAGGAGAGCAUUGUCAACUACACCCUCAACCAGGCCUACCAGGACAACGUCACUGUUUUUGCCAGUGUGAUCUUCCAGACCCGGAAGGACGGCUCGCUCCCGCCUCACGUGCACUACAAGAUCCGCCAGAACUCCAGCUUCACCGAGAAAACCAACGAGAUCCGCCGCGCCUACUGGCGGCCUGGGCCCAAUACUGGCGGCCGCUUCUACUUCCUCUACGGCUUCGUCUGGAUCCAGGACAUGAUGGAGCGCGCCAUCAUCGACACUUUUGUGGGGCACGACGUGGUGGAGCCAGGCAGCUACGUGCAGAUGUUCCCCUAUCCCUGCUACACACGCGAUGAGUGAGUGCUGGGCGCCCGGGGCUGGGGCUGGGGCUGGGGCUGAGUGGCGCCUGAGCGCGGCCUCCCCGCAGCUUCCUGUUUGUCAUUGAGCACAUGAUGCCGCUGUGCAUGGUGAUCUCCUGGGUCUACUCCGUGGCCAUGACCAUCCAGCACAUCGUGGCGGAGAAGGAGCACCGGCUCAAGGAGGUGAUGAAGACCAUGGGCCUGAACAACGCGGUGCACUGGGUGGCCUGGUUCAUCACCGGCUUUGUGCAGCUGUCCAUCUCCGUGACAGCACUCACCGCCAUCCUGAAGUACGGCCAGGUGCUUAUGCACAGCCACGUGGUCAUCAUCUGGCUCUUCCUGGCCGUCUACGCGGUGGCCACCAUCAUGUUCUGCUUCCUGGUGUCUGUGCUGUACUCCAAGGCCAAGCUGGCCUCGGCCUGCGGUGGCAUCAUCUACUUCCUGAGCUACGUGCCCUACAUGUACGUGGCGAUCCGAGAGGAGGUGGCGCAUGAUAAGAUCACGGCCUUCGAGAAGUGCAUCGCGGUGAGGGUCGCGGGCAGGCGGGCGGCUGGGGUGCCGGGCCACCCCACGUGCUGACACCACUGCCUUCUCAGUCCCUCAUGUCCACGACGGCCUUUGGUCUGGGCUCUAAGUACUUCGCGCUGUAUGAGGUGGCCGGCGUGGGCAUCCAGUGGCACACCUUCAGCCAGUCCCCGGUGGAGGGGGACGACUUCAACUUGCUCCUGGCCGUCACCAUGCUGAUGGUGGACGCCGUGGUCUAUGGCAUCCUCACGUGGUACAUUGAGGCUGUGCACCCAGGCAUGUACGGGCUGCCCCGGCCCUGGUACUUCCCACUGCAGAAGUCCUACUGGCUGGGCAGUGGGCGGACAGAAGCCUGGGAGUGGAGCUGGCCGUGGGCACGCACCCCCCGCCUCAGUGUCAUGGAGGAGGACCAGGCCUGUGCCAUGGAGAGCCGGCGCUUUGAGGAGACCCGUGGCAUGGAGGAGGAGCCCACCCACCUGCCUCUGGUUGUCUGCGUGGACAAACUCACCAAGGUCUACAAGGACGACAAGAAGCUGGCCCUGAACAAGCUGAGCCUGAACCUCUACGAGAACCAGGUGGUCUCCUUCUUGGGCCACAACGGGGCGGGCAAGACCACCACCAUGUCCAUCCUGACCGGCCUGUUCCCUCCAACGUCGGGUUCCGCCACCAUCUACGGGCACGACAUCCGCACGGAGAUGGAUGAGAUCCGCAAGAACCUGGGCAUGUGCCCGCAGCACAAUGUGCUCUUUGACCGGCUCACGGUGGAGGAACACCUCUGGUUCUACUCACGGCUCAAGAGCAUGGCUCAGGAGGAGAUCCGCAGAGAGAUGGACAAGAUGAUCGAGGACCUGGAGCUCUCCAACAAACGGCACUCACUGGUGCAGACAUUGUCGGGUGGCAUGAAGCGCAAGCUGUCCGUGGCCAUCGCCUUCGUGGGCGGCUCUCGCGCCAUCAUCCUGGACGAGCCCACGGCGGGCGUGGACCCCUACGCGCGCCGCGCCAUCUGGGACCUCAUCCUGAAGUACAAGCCAGGUGAGUGGGGUGCCGUGUGGGCAGGGGUGCGGGCGGCGCCUCCCCUGCCCCCUGACCCUGGGUCUGGCCUUGUCCUAGGCCGCACCAUCCUUCUGUCCACCCACCACAUGGAUGAGGCUGACCUGCUUGGGGACCGCAUUGCCAUCAUCUCCCAUGGGAAGCUCAAGUGCUGCGGCUCCCCGCUCUUCCUCAAGGGCACCUAUGGCGACGGGUACCGCCUCACGCUGGUCAAGCGGCCCGCCGAGCCGGGGGGCCCCCAAGAGCCAGGGCUGGCAUCCAGCCCCCCAGGUCGGGCCCCGCUGAGCAGCUGCUCCGAGCUCCAGGUGUCCCAGUUCAUCCGCAAGCAUGUGGCCUCCUGCCUGCUGGUCUCAGACACAAGCACGGAGCUCUCCUACAUCCUGCCCAGCGAGGCCGCCAAGAAGGGGGCUUUCGAGCGCCUCUUCCAGCACCUGGAGCGCAGCCUGGAUGCACUGCACCUCAGCAGCUUCGGGCUGAUGGACACGACCCUGGAGGAAGUGUUUCUCAAGGUGUCGGAGGAGGACCAGUCGCUGGAGAACAGUGAGGCCGAUGUGAAGGAGUCCAGGAAGGAUGUGCUCCCUGGGGCGGAGGGCCCGGCGUCUGGGGAGGGUCACGCUGGCAAUCUGGCCCGGUGCUCGGAGCUGACCCAGUCGCAGGCAUCGCUGCAGUCAGCGUCAUCUGUGGGCUCUGCCCGUGGCGACGAGGGAGCUGGCUACACCGACGUCUACGGCGACUACCGCCCCCUCUUUGAUAACCCACAGGACCCAGACAAUGUCAGCCUGCAAGAGGUGGAGGCAGAGGCCCUGUCGAGGGUCGGCCAGGGCAGCCGCAAGCUGGACGGCGGGUGGCUGAAGGUGCGCCAGUUCCACGGGCUGCUGGUCAAACGCUUCCACUGCGCCCGCCGCAACUCCAAGGCACUCUUCUCCCAGAUCUUGCUGCCAGCCUUCUUCGUCUGCGUGGCCAUGACCGUGGCCCUGUCCGUCCCCGAGAUUGGUGAUCUGCCCCCGCUGGUCUUGUCACCUUCCCAGUACCACAACUACACCCAGCCCCGUGGCAAUUUCAUCCCCUACGCCAACGAGGAGCGCCGCGAGUACCGGCUGCGGCUAUCGCCCGACGCCAGCCCCCAGCAGCUCGUGAGCACGUUCCGGCUGCCGUCGGGGGUGGGUGCCACCUGCGUGCUCAAGUCUCCCGCCAAUGGCUCGCUGGGGCCCACGUUGAACCUGAGCAGCGGGGAGUCGCGCCUGCUGGCGGCUCGGUUCUUCGACAGCAUGUGUCUGGAGUCCUUCACACAGGGGCUGCCGCUGUCCAAUUUCGUGCCGCCCCCACCCUCGCCCGCCCCAUCUGACUCGCCAGCGUCCCCGGAUGAGGACCUGCAGGCCUGGAACGUCUCCCUGCCGCCCACCGCUGGGCCAGGUAGUGGUUCAGGGGGCCUGCUGGGGGGGCAGGGGCAGUGAGGGGUCCUUCUCACCGCACCACGCUGUGCCCACAGAAAUGUGGACGUCGGCACCCUCCCUGCCGCGCCUGGUACGGGAGCCCGUCCGCUGCACCUGCUCUGCGCAGGGCACCGGCUUCUCCUGCCCCAGCAGUGUGGGCGGGCACCCGCCCCAGAUGCGGGUGGUCACAGGCGACAUCCUGACCGACAUCACCGGCCACAAUGUCUCUGAGUACCUGCUCUUCACCUCCGACCGCUUCCGACUGCACCGGUAUGGGGCCAUCACCUUUGGAAACGUCCUGAAGUCCAUCCCAGCCUCAUUUGGCACCAGGGCCCCACCCAUGGUGCGGAAGAUCGCGGUGCGCAGGGCUGCCCAGGUUUUCUACAACAACAAGGGCUAUCACAGCAUGCCCACCUACCUCAACAGCCUCAACAACGCCAUCCUGCGUGCCAACUUGCCCAAGAGCAAGGGCAACCCGGCGGCUUACGGCAUCACCGUCACCAACCACCCCAUGAAUAAGACCAGCGCCAGCCUCUCCCUGGAUUACCUGCUGCAGGGCACGGAUGUCGUCAUCGCCAUCUUCAUCAUCGUGGCCAUGUCCUUCGUGCCAGCCAGCUUCGUUGUCUUCCUCGUGGCCGAGAAGUCCACCAAGGCCAAGCACCUGCAGUUUGUCAGCGGCUGCAACCCCAUCAUCUACUGGCUGGCAAACUACGUGUGGGACAUGCUCAACUACCUGGUCCCCGCUACCUGCUGUGUCAUCAUCCUGUUUGUGUUCGACCUGCCGGCCUACACGUCGCCCACCAACUUCCCUGCCGUCCUCUCCCUCUUCCUGCUCUAUGGGUAAGCGGGAGCGGAGUGGGGAGCGGCCUCAGGUGGGACCGGGGCUGCCUGGUGACCACUGCCCGCCACCUGCCCGCAGGUGGUCCAUCACGCCCAUCAUGUACCCAGCCUCCUUCUGGUUCGAGGUCCCCAGCUCCGCCUACGUGUUCCUCAUUGUCAUCAAUCUCUUCAUCGGCAUCACCGCCACCGUGGCCACCUUCCUGCUACAGCUCUUCGAGCACGACAAGGACCUGAAGGUUGUCAACAGUUACCUGAAAAGCUGCUUCCUCAUUUUCCCCAACUACAACCUGGGCCACGGGCUCAUGGAGAUGGCCUACAACGAGUACAUCAACGAGUACUACGCCAAGAUUGGUGAGGGGGCCCGUGGGGCGGGGGAGGCGGUGGGGGCCCCGCAAGGCCCAGAGCACAGGCCCUGAGCUGUCUCCCCGCAGGCCAGUUUGACAAGAUGAAGUCCCCGUUCGAGUGGGACAUUGUCACCCGUGGACUGGUGGCCAUGGCGGUUGAGGGCGUCGUGGGCUUCCUCCUGACCAUCAUGUGCCAGUACAACUUCCUGCGGCGGCCACAGCGCAUGCCUGUGUCUACCAAGCCUGUGGAGGAUGAUGUGGACGUGGCGAGUGAGCGGCAGCGAGUGCUCCGGGGAGACGCCGACAACGACAUGGUCAAGAUUGAGAACCUGACCAAGGUCUACAAGUCCCGGAAGAUUGGCCGUAUCCUGGCCGUUGACCGCCUGUGCCUGGGUGUGCGUCCUGGCGAGUGCUUCGGGCUCCUGGGUGUCAACGGUGCGGGCAAGACCAGCACCUUCAAGAUGCUGACCGGCGACGAGAGCACGACGGGGGGCGAGGCCUUCGUCAAUGGACACAGGUGGGGCGGGAGCCCUGGGUGGGCGGGGCCGCCGCGUCGUCACGCGCUGACAGCUGCCGUGUCCCCAGCGUGCUGAAGGAGCUGCUCCAGGUGCAGCAGAGCCUCGGCUACUGCCCGCAGUGCGACGCGCUGUUCGACGAGCUCACGGCCCGGGAGCACCUGCAGCUGUACACGCGGCUGCGUGGGAUCUCCUGGAAGGACGAGGCCCGGGUGAGGAUCUGUGGGGCGGGGCAGGGAGUCAGCACGCUGGGCGGCCCUGCCUCCACUGACACCUGCGUUCCCUGGCCAGGUGGUGAAGUGGGCUCUGGAGAAGCUGGAGCUGACCAAGUACGCAGACAAGCCGGCCGGCACCUACAGCGGCGGCAACAAGCGGAAGCUCUCCACGGCCAUCGCCCUCAUUGGGUACCCAGCCUUCAUCUUCCUGGACGAGCCCACCACAGGCAUGGACCCCAAGGCCCGGCGCUUCCUCUGGAACCUCAUCCUCGACCUCAUCAAGACAGGGCGUUCGGUGGUGCUGACAUCACACAGGUGAGGGCGCCCCCACCCCCUCUUUGUGCCCCCACCCCGCAGCACCCCUUCCGGUGCCAGCCUGUGCAUGUCCCACAGCAUGGAGGAGUGCGAGGCGCUGUGCACGCGGCUGGCCAUCAUGGUGAACGGUCGCCUGCGGUGCCUGGGCAGCAUCCAGCACCUGAAGAACCGGUUUGGAGAUGGCUACAUGAUCACGGUGCGGACCAAGAGCAGCCAGAGUGUGAAGGACGUGGUGCGGUUCUUCAACCGCAACUUCCCGGAAGCCAUGCUCAAGGAGCGGCACCACACAAAGGUGCAGUACCAGCUUAAGUCGGAGCACAUCUCGCUGGCCCAGGUGUUCAGCAAGAUGGAGCAGGUGUCUGGCGUGCUGGGCAUCGAGGACUACUCGGUCAGCCAGACCACACUGGACAAUGUGUUCGUGAACUUCGCCAAGAAGCAGAGUGACAACCUGGAGCAGCAGGAGACGGAGCCGCCAUCCGCACUGCAGUCCCCUCUCGGCUGCUUGCUCAGCCUGCUCCGGCCCCGGUCUGCCCCCACAGAGCUCCGGGCACUUGUGGCAGACGAGCCCGAGGACCUGGACACGGAGGACGAGGGCCUCAUCAGCUUCGAGGAGGAGCGGGCCCAGCUGUCCUUCAACACGGACACGCUCUGCUGACCACCCAGAGCUGGGCCAGGGAGGACACGCUCCACUGACCACUCAGAGCUGGGCCAAGGACUCAACAAUGGGGACAGAAGUCCCCCAGUGCCUGCCAGGGCCUGGAGUGGAGGUUCAGGACCAAGGGGCUUCUGGUCCUCCAGCCCCUGUACUCGGCCAUGCCCUGCGGUCACUGCGGUUGCCGCCCCUAAUUGUGCCAAAGGCUGACCCGGCCCGGGCUGCGCACACCCUUGCCCUGCUUUGCCUUAAAGCCUCGGGGUCUGCCCGGCCCCUCGCCCCUGCCUGGCUCUGCUCACCGCCCAAGGCGACGCCGGCUGGACCAGGCACUGCUGGCCUUUCUCCUGCCCGGCCUCGGAACCAGCUUUUCUCUCUUACAAUGAAGGCUGAUGCCGAGAGCAGGCUGUGGGCGGAGCUGGGUCAGUCCCGUAUUUAUUUUGCUUUGAGAAGAGGCUCUCUGGCCCUGCUCUCCUGCAGGGAGGUGGCUGUCCCGCGGGAAGCCAUCAGCUUGGGCCAGCUGGCAGGUGGCAGGAAUGGAGAAGCUGACCCUGCUG